This 134-nucleotide ribosomal RNA is filed under the name uncultured bacterium. RNAcentral describes it as "partial 16S ribosomal RNA". It matches the Rfam family "Bacterial small subunit ribosomal RNA", at positions 356 to 504 of the family's 1533-position model. The record is from RNAcentral.
GGGGAAUAUUGGGCAAUGGGCGCAAGCCUGACCCAGCAACGCCGCGUGAAUGAAGAAGGUUUUCGGGUUGUAAACUUCUUUUCUCAGGGAAGAAGAAAGUGACGGUACCUGAGGAAUAAGCCACGGCUAACUAC